This 405-nucleotide ribosomal RNA is filed under the name uncultured bacterium. RNAcentral's name for it is "bacterial SSU rRNA". It matches the Rfam family "Bacterial small subunit ribosomal RNA", at positions 355 to 776 of the family's 1533-position model. The record is from RNAcentral.
UGGGGGAUAUUGCACAAUGGGGGAAACCCUGAUGCAGCGACGCCGCGUGUAGGAAGACGGUCCUCUGGAUUGUAAACUACUGUCUUCAGGGACGAUAAUGACGGUACCUGAGGAGGAAGCUCCGGCUAACUACGUGCCAGCAGCCGCGGUAAUACGUAGGGAGCGAGCGUUGUCCGGAAUUACUGGGUGUAAAGGGAGCGUAGGCGGGGAGGCAAGUUGGAUGUGAAAACUAUCGGCUCAACUGAUAGACUGCAUUCAAAACUGUUUCUCUUGAGUGAAGUAGAGGCAGGCGGAAUUCCUAGUGUAGCGGUGAAAUGCGUAGAUAUUAGGAGGAACACCAGUGGCGAAGGCGGCCUGCUGGGCUUUUACUGACGCUGAGGCUCGAAAGUGUGGGGAGCAAACAGG